AUCUAUCCCUGGCAUGCGCCUCCAGCUGGGAUGUCAGCACAGAGCCCUGGGAGCUGCUGACUUCCCGUGCUGCCGGCUCCGAGGCUGGAGCAGAAGCGUGGCAUUGUUACACUUGGCAAAGUUUAUCCUCACCCCCAGGAAGGAUGGAGGCACGUCACUGAGCUCUGAUGGUGUGUGACGCACCUAUGUGUAGCUGGAGAUGGAUGGCAGCAUGGCUUUGGAGGAGUUAUCCUGGUCCUUGCUGGUGUAAUCAGGAGAGCGUGGCCUGGAGAAACUGCCACGGUGGGUUAGAUCAGCUGAGCUGGUCUCACCCCAGCACAUGGUUGCAAAGCAAGGCAGGAGAGCAGAGAGAGGACCAGCAGCCUUGUGCAAGACCAUCAGUGCUGGAAAGUCAGACCUGCAGAAAUUAAUUAAAAUAAGAGCAGUGGGAACAGAAGUUGAGAGCUACAGUGAUGGAUGUUCACGAAACACUUGCCCAGAGCUCAGAGUGCCCUGGACAUUCGGUGAUGUUUGCUUCCAGCCAAGGAGCUGUGCAGUACUUAAACACACUCAAAGCAGUGGUGAUUAGGGAAUCAGCCUCUGAUAUCUGGGUGUGGGUCCACUGCACCCAGAGCUGAUGCCCUCUCUCCACUGGGAUUUGCACUUGGAGCUGCCAGCGCUGGUUUGUCAUGGAUUGCAUCCCCUGGCUGCAAAGGGAGUUUUAUGUUCUCUAAAUCCUAAACCUUAGGUUGUGUAUUAAUAGCAUGGUAAUGCAUCACUUUUGUGUCCAGCACAAGCCAGGGGUUAUAUAAAACACAGAUUAAUGGGAAUCAGCAAAAUAGAGGAGCAUGGGGAGGGAUGAGGUGAGGAUGUCUUGGGAGGGGAGGCAGGAGGGAGGUGGCAGGUCCAGAGGGAAGAGAAGGUGGCUGAGUGGAUUCAGAGCACUUCCUGGCAGGAUUUGCUCCAGUUAUCGUUCUGCAGUCCCUGAUUCAGAACAUUUCCUGAACCAGCAGGUCUGCAACCAGGGGUCUUUUGUCCCUGGGUGAUAACAAGACAGCAGGGUCUGGGAAUUUGACUGGAAAUGGCUGUUUUUUC
Long non-coding RNA from Neopelma chrysocephalum (saffron-crested tyrant-manakin), 1074 nucleotides. RefSeq lists it as uncharacterized. NCBI's taxonomy places the organism in Eukaryota, Metazoa, Chordata, Aves, Passeriformes, Pipridae. The record is from RefSeq and is a predicted model, not a curated record. The transcript is spliced from 4 exons.